AAUCAACGCUGGCGGCGUGCCUCAGACAUGCAAGUCGAACGAGAAAGUCCCCUUCGGGGGAUAAGUAAAGUGGCGCACGGGUGAGUAACACGUAGGUAAUCUACCUUCGGGUGGGGAAUAACCCAGGGAAACUUGGGCUAACACCGCAUAAUGCAGCGGCACCACAUGGUGACAGUUGUUAAAGCGGGGGAUUUUCGGACCUCGCGCCUGAAGAGGAGCCUGCGGCGGAUUAGCUAGUUGAAAGGUAACGGCUUACCAAGGCAACGAUCCGUAGCCGGCCUGAGAGGGGCGGUCGGCCACACUGACACUGACAUACGGGUCAGACUCCUACGGGAGGCAGCAGUCGGGAAUUUUGGGCAAUGGGCGAAAGCCUGACCCAGCAACGCCGCGUGAAGGAUGAAAUCCCUCGGGAUGUAAACUUCGCAAGAAUGGGAAGAAUUAGCGAGCGCUAAUGCCGCUCGUGAUGACGGUACCAUUUGUAAGCUCCGGCUAACUCCGUGCCAGCCG
Molecule: ribosomal RNA, 507 nt
Filed under: uncultured bacterium
Lineage: Bacteria
Description: bacterial SSU rRNA
Rfam family: Bacterial small subunit ribosomal RNA
Source: RNAcentral